RNAcentral lists this ribosomal RNA (305 nucleotides) under uncultured bacterium. Its description in RNAcentral is "bacterial SSU rRNA". It matches the Rfam family "Bacterial small subunit ribosomal RNA", at positions 500 to 802 of the family's 1533-position model. The record is from RNAcentral.
CCUACGGGAGGCAGCAGCCGCGGUAAUACGUAGGGGGCAAGCGCUAUCCGGAUUUACUGGGUGUAAAGGGAGCGUAGACGGCGAUGCAAGUCUGAAGUGAAAGGCGGGGGCCCAACCCCUGGACUGCUUUGGAAACUGUAUGGCUGGAGUGCAGGAGAGGUAAGUGGAAUUCCUAGUGUAGCGGUGAAAUGCGUAGAUAUUAGGAGGAACACCAGUGGCGAAGGCGGCUUACUGGACUGUAACUGACGUUGAGGCUCGAAAGCGUGGGGAGGAAACAGGAUUAGAAACCCGUGGAGUCCCCUCAG